CUGUUUUUGGCUGAGAUGGACUAGCUGUGGAGAACUGCUAUUUCUUGGCCAGCCUGCUGCCUACUGCUCCCAGCUGCCUUUGGACAGGAUAGUGCUGAGCUAGUGGUUUGCUGGGAUGGAGCCUGAGUCAAACACAAAUGUAGGCAAAACCAUGAACAGAUGGCAGCAGGACAUGGUCUCUGGUCUCAGCCUUAGCCCUACGAUGUGAUGGUGGCAUGGAGCAUCCACAAUCUAUUGGGUCUUUGUUGGGUUACUGAGAAAUCAUCAGGAAGCAGAUGGCAUGUCUUGGCUGAGUGGCUUCUUGGGCAUCUUAUUUUAACAACUACUUCAGCAUACCUGGCAGCAGAGUCAGAUGUAAAACACACAGCCUAAACAUGAGCUGCGAUAAAUCAAGUGCAAUGAAUUCCCAGUCACUGCAAGAUUAACAGUAAUCCAGAGCACAGGAGUUUUGUUUGCCCUGUACGGGAAAAUACCUUCAUCUUGUCUGAAGUUAAGGUACUUAUCUGCAAAAUCCUUAGAUCAUUUGCUCCUUCUUUGAUUAUUUAGCAUUAAAAUGAUGUUGUGUUUUUUGUUUUUGUUGUUGUUGUUGUUGUUUGUUUGCAUGUUUGUUUUAUUUUGUUUUGUUCUGUUUUGGUUUGGUUUGAUUAGCAGCCUAAGAAUGACAAAACUAGUGCCAGAAAAUAACAAAAACUUUUCACCUGUCAAGUCAGUUUAAAUCAACAAGAAUAUUUUUUAAUAACUCUUGACUCAUGAGGUAAAAAUUGUAUAGGAGGACAGUGUCACUUGCCUUUUGUUACUUAAAUUAUGACUCUAUUACCAGACUGUCUUUGGGAUUUCUCAUUCUGCAGAACUACUUUGUGGAGGACUACUUUGACAGUCAUUCAGAGCUUUCAGUAGAAAUUACCAAGUUGGUCCAAAUAGUAAUUUAGGCACAGGGAUGGGAUACUAGCCACACUUUUAUAUCGAGGUUGAUUGAAAAAAAAAAAAAAGGAAAGUUUAUUGUAGUGGCUUCUGGAAUCCCUGUAGAUUUAACUUCUCUGUUUACUUUUUUUUUUUUUUUUUUUUUUUUUUAGUACACUUGAAGCUCCAAGGAUGCCUAGAUGUCCACACACAGUGGCAUCAUGGCAUCAUCAGCACAUAGGAAGAAGGACAGCAAGGGCUGACUCAGCAGGCUUGCUGGGCUUGGAGCUUUGUUUUCUACAGGAACUCCGAGAAACUCCAUGGAAGCCAAUCCCCUGCUGUUUCUGAAAAUAACAAUGGAUGUUCACUUGCUGCUUCACGUAUUAAGAGGGAGAAAAAAAAAAGUCCCGAGAACACUUGCCUACCAUCAUACACUAAAUGUGUGACAUAGCCAGGAGCUGAGCUCCAUUUUUUUAAACAGACAAGUGCCUGCAGCACAAAGCAUUCAUUCUCAUUCUGUUGGUCUGAAAGAAAAAUUAUUCUGGAUAUAGCCUAAUCUAAUAGGGAUCUGGCUACUACAGCAGUCUUUAAGGGUCAUUAUUCUUUAAACAGUCAUUAGAAAAGCAAGAUGCCUAUAUGGGCAGUAUGUACCAAAAUAACAUCUGAAAGCAAAUAGCCAAAAUACUGUUGUCAGAGGUAAACAAAGCUACGGAACUCUGUAACUCCAGAAAAUAAAAGAAAAUAUAUAAUUUUAAAGAGGUAUUUA
This 1666-nucleotide long non-coding RNA is filed under the name Anas platyrhynchos platyrhynchos (common mallard). RNAcentral's name for it is "lncRNA (ENSAPLG00000020754.1)". The record is from RNAcentral. Lineage: Eukaryota; Metazoa; Chordata; Aves; Anseriformes; Anatidae.